CUAGAGUUGAUCCCUGCUCAGAUUGAAUGCCGGCGGCAGGCUUAACACAUUCAAGUCGAGCGGCAGCGGGAAGAUAGCUUGCUAUCUUUCCGGCGAGCGGCGGAUGGGUGAGUAAUGCCUAGGGAUCUGCCCAGUCGAGGGGGAUAACAGUUGGAAACGACUGGUAAUACNGCAUACGCCCUACGGGGGAAAGGAGGGGACGUUCGGGCCUUCCGCGAUUGGAUGAACCUAGGUGGGAUUAGCUAGUUGGUGAGGUAAUGGCUCACCAAGGCGACGAUCCCUAGCUGUUCUGAGAGGAUGAUCAGCCACACUGGGACUGAGACACGGCCCAGACUCCUACGGGAGGCAGCAGUGGGGAAUAUUGCACAAUGGGCGAAAGCCUGAUGCAGCCCAUGACCGACGUGUGUGAAGAAGGCCUUCGGGUUGUAAAGCACUUUCCAGUAGGGAGGAAAGGUUAACAAUUAAUACUUGUUAC
Molecule: ribosomal RNA, 475 nt
Filed under: marine sediment bacterium ISA-3226
Lineage: Bacteria
Description: bacterial SSU rRNA
Rfam family: Bacterial small subunit ribosomal RNA
Source: RNAcentral